This 344-nucleotide ribosomal RNA is filed under the name Foraminifera environmental sample. RNAcentral describes it as "SSU rRNA". It matches the Rfam family "Eukaryotic small subunit ribosomal RNA", at positions 1160 to 1343 of the family's 1831-position model. The record is from RNAcentral. Lineage: Eukaryota; Foraminifera.
AAGGGCACCACAAGAACGCGUGGAGCAUGUGGCUUAAUUUGACCCAACGCGGGAAAUCUUACCGGGUCCGGACACACUGAGGAUUGACAGGCAGUUUUGAUAAGUAAAUAUUUUAUUAUAUUUGCUUAUCUCAUGAAAGAUGCUAGUCCUUUCAUGAUUAUGUGAUAGGUGGUGCAUGGCCGUUCUUAGUUCGUGGAGUGAUCUGUCUGCUUAAUUGCGUUUCAUUAAGAGCCUAUUCAUACGUAUGUCUGCAGGCACUUUGACCCCACUUUUUCAUUAAGGUGCGCGUUGUCUUAGUUUGCUUUGCGCAUACAUUUAGGCUCUGAAAGCAACGAACGUGACCG